ACGCUGGCGGCAUGCCUAACACAUGCAAGUCGAACGAAGUCCUUCGGGGCUUAGUGGCGCACGGGUGCGUAACGCGUGGGAAUCUACCCUUAGGUUCGGAAUAACAGUUGGAAACGACUGCUAAUACCGGAUGAUGACGUAAGUCCAAAGAUUUAUCGCCUAGGGAUGAGCCCGCGUAGGAUUAGCUAGUUGGUGUGGUAAGGCGCACCAAGGCGACGAUCCUUAGCUGGUCUGAGAGGGUGAUCAGCCACACUGGGACUGAGACACGGCCCAGACUCCUACGGGAGGCAGCAGUGGGGAAUAUUGGACAAUGGGCGAAAGCCUGAUCCAGCAAUGCCGCGUGAGUGAUGAGGGCCUUAGGGUUGUAAAGCUCUUUUACCCGGGAUGAUAAUGACAGUACCGGGAGAAUAAGCUCCGGCUAACUCCGUGCCAGCAGCCGCGGUAAUACGGAGGGAGCUAGCGUUAUUCGGAAUUACUGGGCGUAAAGCGCACGUAGGCGGCUUUGUAAGUAAGAGGUGAAAGCCUGGUGCUCAACACCAGAACUGCCUUUUAGACUGCAUCGCUUGAAUCCAGGAGAGGUGAGUGGAAUUCCGAGUGUAGAGGUGAAAUUCGUAGAUAUUCGGAAGAACACCAGUGGCGAAGGCGGCUCACUGGACUGGUAUUGACGCUGAGGUGCGAAAGCGUGGGGAGCAAAC
RNAcentral lists this ribosomal RNA (695 nucleotides) under uncultured bacterium. Its description in RNAcentral is "bacterial SSU rRNA". It matches the Rfam family "Bacterial small subunit ribosomal RNA", at positions 33 to 773 of the family's 1533-position model. The record is from RNAcentral.